UCGGGAAUUUUGCACAAUGGCCGAAAGGCUGAUGCAGCAACGCCGCGUGAGCGAAGAAGGCCUUCGGGUUGUAAAGCUCUGUUGCCUGCGAAGAAGGGCCCUGUCAGGAAAUGGGCGGGGUUUGACGGUAGCAGGCGAGGAAGCCCCGGCAAACUACGUGCCAGCAGCCGCGGUAAUACGUAGGGGGCGAGCGUUGUCCGGAAUUACUGGGCGUAAAGGGCGUGUAGGCGGCCUGUUAAGUCAGGGGUGAAAGACCGGGGCUCAACCCCGGGAGGGCCUCUGAAACUGGCGGGCUUGAGUGCUCUAGAGGGCAGUGGAAUUCCCGGUGUAGCAGUGAAAUGCGUAGAGAUCGGGAGGAACACCAGUGGCGAAGGCGGCUGCCUGGGGAGUCACUGACGCUGAGGCGCGAAAGCUAGGGGAGCAAACAGG
Molecule: ribosomal RNA, 429 nt
Filed under: bacterium
Lineage: Bacteria
Description: partial 16S ribosomal RNA
Rfam family: Bacterial small subunit ribosomal RNA
Source: RNAcentral